This 253-nucleotide ribosomal RNA is filed under the name uncultured bacterium. RNAcentral describes it as "partial 16S ribosomal RNA". It matches the Rfam family "Bacterial small subunit ribosomal RNA", at positions 524 to 776 of the family's 1533-position model. The record is from RNAcentral.
UACAGAGGUCUCAAGCGUUGUUCGGAUUUAUUGGGCGUAAAGGGUGCGCAGGCGGUGUGGUAAGUUUGGUGUGAAAUCCUGGGGCUCAACCCCAGAAUUGCACUGAAUACUGCCAUGCUAGAGGACUGGAGAGGAGAUUGGAAUUCCCGGUGUAGCGGUGAAAUGCGCAGAUAUCGGGAGGAACACCGGUGGCGAAGGCGGUUCUCUGGGCCUUACCUGACGCUGAGGAGCGAAAGCGUGGGGAGCGAACAGG